AAAAAGAUAGGCUAUAAAAGCUUAUAGGCUCAUAACCUGUAGAUAAAGUUAUUUUAACUUUUCUUUUUA
This 69-nucleotide transfer RNA is filed under the name Menacanthus cornutus. RNAcentral's name for it is "tRNA-Met". Lineage: Eukaryota; Metazoa; Arthropoda; Insecta; Psocodea; Menoponidae. The record is from RNAcentral.